RNAcentral lists this transfer RNA (67 nucleotides) under Alpheus bellulus. RNAcentral describes it as "tRNA-Ser". The record is from RNAcentral. Lineage: Eukaryota; Metazoa; Arthropoda; Malacostraca; Decapoda; Alpheidae.
AGGAUUGCAAGAAGGAGCCCAGGUUUCUAACCUCCAGCUCAAGCGGUUAAAGUCCGUUUCCAUCCUU